CUUAUCAAGAGUGACGGAGGGUUCAGGCCCUGUGAAGUCCGGCAACCUGCCAUUUUUUUCAGAAGCGGCAAGGUGCCAAAUCCUGCGGCGAAAGCCGAGAGAUGAGG
RNAcentral lists this non-coding RNA (107 nucleotides) under bovine gut metagenome. RNAcentral's name for it is "SAM riboswitch (S box leader)". It matches the Rfam family "SAM riboswitch aptamer (S box leader)". From Rfam's summary of the family: The SAM riboswitch is found upstream of a number of genes which code for proteins involved in methionine or cysteine biosynthesis in Gram-positive bacteria. The record is from RNAcentral.